GGCGGACGGGUGAGUAUCGCGUAGGGAUUUAUCGUUGGGUGGGGGAUAACCUUGGGAAACUGGGGCUAAUACUGCAUGACGCCUUUUGGCCAAAGCCUGAGAGGGCGCCUGACGAGGAGCCUGCGUCCGAUUAGCUAGUUGGUAGGGUAAAGGCUUACCAAGGCGAUGAUCGGUAGCUGGUCUGAGAGGAUGAUCAGCCACACUGGGACUGAGACACGGCCCAG
RNAcentral lists this ribosomal RNA (224 nucleotides) under uncultured bacterium. Its description in RNAcentral is "partial 16S ribosomal RNA". It matches the Rfam family "Bacterial small subunit ribosomal RNA", at positions 97 to 334 of the family's 1533-position model. The record is from RNAcentral.